This 591-nucleotide ribosomal RNA is filed under the name Triticum aestivum (bread wheat). Its description in RNAcentral is "partial small subunit ribosomal RNA". The record is from RNAcentral. Lineage: Eukaryota; Viridiplantae; Streptophyta; Magnoliopsida; Poales; Poaceae.
AUGCUCACCACCAUCCUCGCGCUCAAGCACAGGCCACACAUAGAUGAUGGCGUUGGCCGCGUCGACGAGGUUGGGAGUCCCUCGACCCAACCCUUGCCCUCCCCUGCAUUGACGGGCCCACCCAUCUUUGUGCGUGUAUGCAGGGGAUAUGCCGCUCUGCCGCAGCCGCUGGUCCGGCCGUGCCGGAGCCGGGGGAGCGCCGUCGUGUGCAACGCGUCGGUAGUGCUCUUGCUUGCUAAAGGCACAGGCAUACACAAAUCUUUCCUCGUGCCAUUGUUUGUUCUGCAAGCACUUGGCCCUGUAAUCUCAUGGAUCAAGAGUGAAUAUGGGCUGUGGACUGCUUUUCUUGCGCUUGCAGUGCAUUUGUUCUUACCCUUUCCAGAUGAGCUAGAGCUUCCACUGUCAACGAUGCUGGCGGUCAGCAUUGCUCCUUACCAGGUGAUGAAUGUGAGGCUAUGUUGGUGGAUUUUAGAGAGAACUUGUCUUCGAACAAUACUAUCCAGAAGCAGCAAGGGAAAGACAACCAUUGCAUUACUACACUUAGAUAAUUUUGACUUGUUAGCUACACCCUUUGGAUGGUGCUACUUGUAG